GACAGAAAUUCCUUCCUACGUCCGUAUCUCAUGCUAGACUCACCGGUUGCUGACUGGGUUUGAAGCAACAGCCCGAUCAAGGAAAUCAGAACGUAUGUGUUACAUCGGGGCGCUACGAUACCCCUACGCAGGGUCGUCAUC
Frieseomelitta varia is the source of this 141-nucleotide long non-coding RNA. RefSeq lists it as uncharacterized. The record is from RefSeq and is a predicted model, not a curated record. NCBI's taxonomy places the organism in Eukaryota, Metazoa, Arthropoda, Insecta, Hymenoptera, Apidae. The transcript is spliced from 3 exons.